RNAcentral lists this long non-coding RNA (569 nucleotides) under Ananas comosus (pineapple). RNAcentral's name for it is "long non-coding RNA (ACOM_LNC004774)". The record is from RNAcentral. Lineage: Eukaryota; Viridiplantae; Streptophyta; Magnoliopsida; Poales; Bromeliaceae.
UAGGAGUACUGUUGUGUUGUUAGAAGCAUGGGGAUCUCUGUGCUCCUAAGUCAUUUUCGAUGAUAAAAUUUUUUAAUCAAUAAUCCGCUCUAUUAGGCUUGAUCUAGUAUAUUUGAAGUAUUUAAAAAAUAAAUUUCGCGAUUUUCCGAUAUCAUUUACCUAGCAAUAAAAAUGGUUCAAAAUUAAUUAUUUUUAAUGGUUGAUAUCUGUCUUUUUCAUGUUUAACAGUGUAGAAGUAUUCAAAUCAGAUAAAAUUUUGAUAUAAAAUUUUUAUACUAUCUACGACAAAAUCAAUAUCUCUAAUCGAAAAUUUUGAUACUAUAUCACUACUUCUUAUGAUAUUUUUAUUUUCAACUGUUAAUUUUAAACCAUUUCGAUCACUAGAUAAAUGCUAUAGAAAAAUCGCAAAAUUUAUUUUCUAAAUACUUCAAAUAUAAUAGAUCAAGUCUAACGGAGCGGAUUGUUGAUUUGAAAAUUCCAUCAUAAAAAUAACUUACGAGAACAAGCACAAUAGCCCUACUUUCUCUCUCUCUCUCUCUCUCUCUCUCUAUAUAUAUAUAUGAUUUUUU